This 578-nucleotide ribosomal RNA is filed under the name uncultured bacterium. Its description in RNAcentral is "bacterial SSU rRNA". It matches the Rfam family "Bacterial small subunit ribosomal RNA", at positions 336 to 916 of the family's 1533-position model. The record is from RNAcentral.
CUCCUACGGGAGGCAGCAGUGAGGAAUAUUGGUCAAUGGGCGCAAGCCUGAACCAGCCAUGCCGCGUGCAGGAUGACGGUCCUAUGGAUUGUAAACUGCUUUUGCACAGGAAGAAACACUACCUCGUGAGGUAGCUUGACGGUACUGUGAGAAUAAGGAUCGGCUAACUCCGUGCCAGCAGCCGCGGUAAUACGGAGGAUCCAAGCGUUAUCCGGAAUCAUUGGGUUUAAAGGGUCCGUAGGCGGUCUAAUAAGUCAGUGGUGAAAGCCCAUCGCUCAACGAUGGAACGGCCAUUGAUACUGUUAGACUUGAAUUAUUUGGAAGUAACUAGAAUAUGUAGUGUAGCGGUGAAAUGCUUAGAGAUUACAUGGAAUACCAAUUGCGAAGGCAGGUUACUACAAAUGGAUUGACGCUGAUGGACGAAAGCGUGGGUAGCGAACAGGAUUAGAUACCCUGGUAGUCCACGCCGUAAACGAUGGAUACUAGCUGUUCGGAGCAAUCUGAGUGGCUAAGCGAAAGUGAUAAGUAUCCCACCUGGGGAGUACGUUCGCAAGAAUGAAACUCAAAGGAAUUGACGG